AUUGAACGCUGGCGGCAGGCCUAACACAUGCAAGUCGAGCGGAUGAAGGGAGCUUGCUCCUGGAUUCAGCGGCGGACGGGUGAGUAAUGCCUAGGAAUCUGCCUGGUAGUGGGGGAUAACGUCCGGAAACGGGCGCUAAUACCGCAUCCGUCCUGAGGGAGAAAGUGGGGGAUCUUCGGACCUCACGCUAUCAGAUGAGCCUAGGUCGGAUUAGCUAGUUGGUGGGGUAAAGGCCUACCAAGGCGACGAUCCGUAACUGGUCUGAGAGGAUGAUCAGUCACACUGGAACUGAGACACGGUCCAGACUCCUACGGGAGGCAGCAGUGGGGAAUAUUGGACAAUGGGCGAAAGACUGAUCCAGCCAUGCCGCGUGUGUGAAGAAGGUCUUCGGAUUGUAAAGCACUUUAAGUUGGGAGGAAGGGCAGUAAGUUAAUACCUUGCUGUUUUGACGUUACCAACAGAAUAAGCACCGGCUAACUUCGUG
Molecule: ribosomal RNA, 484 nt
Filed under: uncultured bacterium
Lineage: Bacteria
Description: partial 16S ribosomal RNA
Rfam family: Bacterial small subunit ribosomal RNA
Source: RNAcentral